RNAcentral lists this ribosomal RNA (269 nucleotides) under uncultured prokaryote. Its description in RNAcentral is "partial 16S ribosomal RNA". It matches the Rfam family "Archaeal small subunit ribosomal RNA", at positions 474 to 743 of the family's 1478-position model. The record is from RNAcentral.
UACCUGCAGCUCAAGUGGUGACCACUAUUAUUGGGCCUAAAACGUCCGUAGCCGGCUUAGUAAAUGCCUGGGUAAAUCGCAUAGCUCAACUAUGCGAAUUCCGGGUAGACUGCUAAGCUUGAGACCGGGAGAGGCUAGAGGUACUCCUAGGGUAGAGGUGAAAUUCUGUAAUCCUAGGGGGACCACCAGUGGCGAAGGCGUCUAGCUAGAACGGGUCUGACGGUGAGGGACGAAGCCCUGGGGCGCAAACCGGAUUAGAUACCCCCGUA